UUGAGAAAAGGAGAAGGAGAAGUUUACUUGUGAAAAGGAGAGUGUUAGCUUUGCUUUGGUGUUUAAGGCAAGAGAAGCAGAUCCGUCACGUUCUGGUAGAAUAGAGUUACGACGUAUCAAAUCUUAUCGAAAGUUUGGUGAGACGCGUUUUCUCUGUUGCGAACUGGGAUCAGCGGAGUUUGUAAGUGCGAUCGUGGAUUCAUUGUUUCUCCGAUCGGCACCAAAUUUCGUAGGGGGCUUCGUGACGUCUGGAUCUUGCUUUUCACCGUAGGGAUUAAGAAGUUAACGGGCGUUGUUUGGCUGUUGCAGUCACGAAGAGAGUAUUUCCUGGCUGUUUUUGUAACUCAAAUCACCUUGUUAAGGUAAAAGCAAAGUGUGAUCCGUGGAAUCAUGGCGAGGAGAGGAGG
Capsella rubella is the source of this 407-nucleotide long non-coding RNA. RefSeq lists it as uncharacterized. The record is from RefSeq and is a predicted model, not a curated record. The transcript has 4 exons. Lineage: Eukaryota; Viridiplantae; Streptophyta; Magnoliopsida; Brassicales; Brassicaceae.